UUUUGUUCCCUGUCCCUUUCUUUGCAAUUCCUUAUGUUUUGCAUGCUUUUUUAACCACUGCCAAGUUGUGUGUUGAUGUUUUUGUGGCAGCAUUUAUUGGAGCCCCACAAAGCUGCUCUGGAGGGGUAGGAGCCAGCCAAGACCCCUGUGUGUAUUACAGUGCAUUUAUCCACAGCAAGGCUCAUCUGCUAUUUCCUUGCUCAGUCACUCCGUUUUACAGCCACAUCCCUCAUGCUCUCCUCAUGCUCACAGUAAUCUAUGCAUUUUCAUUCUUGCCCCUUCACAGAACAUUUCUGAGCAUGCUGGUGAAGGGGCUCUGCUACUGGACUCCUAUCACCACAAAAAGUGAUCAUUUGCUUCUGACCUUUGCUUCCUCUCUUUUGCAUGAUGUUUGUCCACGUGAGAAGCUGUCUCUUUGCCUAUGCAGCUUAAGGUUUUUGAGACCCUCUGGUAAAAUAUGUAAAUUGUCUUUCUUUAAUACCAGAUCUCCCCUCCGCACAGAGGGACUUGUGAGGCGUUGCCUCCCUUUGCAAAAGCUGCCUGCCUCUUCUCCUGUAUCAUACUGGUUUUCUUCAAAAUACUUUUUUGAUAUAGUUAAUAGUGGUUAUUUAUAUAUAAUAUAUUUAUAUUAUAUAAAUAUAACAUAUAUAUGUAUAUAUAUAUAUAUGUAUAUGUGUGUAUAUAUAUAUAUAUAUGUAUAUGUAUGUAUGUAACCAGCCAGCUAGGUGUUCUUUUCUGAUAUCUCUAUUUGGGCAUAACUUCAGGUUUUUAAAGGAUGCUUUUUAACUUGUAGCAACCCUGACCAAGUUGGUUAGCUAUGUUCACAUUAUUUUAAGACUUUAUAAAACCUACAAGAUAUGAUUAGCCCUGGGCUGGAAUAGAAGUGAAGUGUGAAAGUCUUGGAGAAGUAAAUUGCAGGAUUUAGAGACUCUUAUAACUAUGGUCUUCUCAGCUAUAUGCGGAAGACUCCAAGAAAAUCCAUAUUUUACUGUCUCUGUGAGUGAGCUUCUCUGUGAAUCCUUUCGAUGGAGGUGAAAUGGCAAAAAAAAUUCAGUUUUGUUCUGGGUUUCUUUAUUUCUGGGUGGGCAAACUUGGUCCUUGAAUCCAAGCACAAGAGCAGUCACCUCAACUAAGAUCUUAGAAGUAAUGAAAGUUUAACAGGAGGAAAAAUUGGGACGGCCCAUCAAAAACUUGGAUGGAAGGAUGUGUGGGUUAAAACUGGGUAAACAGAAGAAAAGAAAAACACUACAAAGCUUUCCUAAUAACAGAUUAUGGCACACUAGCCAGACACAAAAACGCACCAAACCCUACUUUCUACAUCAAGGAAGUGAGUUGACCUAAUCUGACUGGACUUCAGGAAAACAUUUGUUAGUAUGCUACUUGAAAAAAAAAUAAACUAAGAUAGCAGUUGCUAAAUUAACUCUUAAUAUGAAUAAAAGCUUGCAAAGUAGUUUGUAAGGGAAAGUCUCAAGGUAGCGGAAAGUAUAUAGUGAAUUUCCUUAAGGAAUGAUCUCAGACAGAUCUUAUUAGUUAUUUUCACUGACAACUUUAAAUUUGGAAUGAUCAACUGAGGAUACAAAGCUGGGGUACUGCCUGCACAAAGUGGGGCUGGAAUACUGUAUAAGAAUGGGCAUGAAAGUCAUUUUACAUUAUGAGCUUGACUCAGUACCCUGGAACUCUGCCUAUACCAAACUUAGGAAAAGUUCUUCAGUAUGGUAUUUUCACUAUAAAGACAAACCAAGUGGUCAAAUUUCUUAGUAGUUCUGCAGGCACGGAAUAAAAUAUUUCAAAUAAAAUUGCUAUAUAAAAAUUCUAAAAUACAAAUGUCAUGUACCCAGUUCCAAAGGAAGGCAAAAAAACCAAAAAAUAAAAAAAAACCCUAUUUUUGAUUGCUUAAUUAGAGACAGUCAUAGACAAAAAUCCUCCAGAUUCUUCUAUUAAAAGAAGCAAAAAAGAAAAUUCUUAUUUUUAGAUGUUAUUCAAGAGUGCCACACAAGCCUUGUACAUCCGUUCCUCCUUCAAUUUCACAGGCAUCACCCGUAAACUGGAGAUUAACCUACAAGAUUAACAGAAACCAUAUAAUGAGACACUAAGUCCAUCUCCUCUGUUGUUCCUAUAAAAAUAUUUCAGAAUUUGGUCGCUUGCUCCCACAGCUGUCAAAUGAAGCCAGAGCAGGACAACGAGUCAGAAGUGCUGUACAAAUUCUGGAAGGCUUACCUGAACUAACACACUGUGAUGUGCUGAAGGUAACCUAAUCCUGGACACAGCUCUGUUUCAUGAGCCAAGCUAGCUCACCUGCAGUGCCCUGUGCUGUACCAUGUGUGUGCGCCAGCUCACGUCCAUAGUCGUGCAAAGUGCAGAGAUUCCCAAACAAAUCUGGACAUGCCAGGAAAUUCAGGGGAAGCCCGUGGCUUGUAUGAAAAAAACCUUUUGACACCCUUGUCAUGCAAUACCAGUAUGAUAGUGCACAGGUCAAGGUCACAAGCUAGGAAUGAAGAAUGUUUGCUGUCAUCCAUAAAAAAAGGUUAAGUUGGAUGUUUCGGUCAAUCCUUAAGACUUUUAAGAUGUUGAAAGCAGAUAGGUUUAAUAUAAAAAUAAAUAUAUUAAAAAUCAAAAUAUUAGUUGCUUUGUAUCUAGGAGGCAUAGGAAGGUAUUAACGGCACCAUAAGAGGCAGUAGCAACAUCUCAUCUGGAUCACUGUGCUUACUUCUAACCCUGCAAAUUAAAAAAAGAUUUUCUGGAAGUGGAGGUAAAAAGGAGGGUUAGAAGAACGGUCAGUGAAAAGCACCCUUCUCUGUGAUAGGUACAGCACAGCUGGUUUGGCUGAAAGCAGGCUGAGCAGGUUUUGGCAGUAAACUGAAAAACCCAGGGGAGGACACAUGGAAAUGGACUUUAUACCAGGUGAGAGAAAUGCUCUUUAAACUGAAGUUUAAGACCUUGCAGAAUGUGAGAAGUUUAACUGGUCAUGAUACAUAUGAUCUGAAAUCUUUAACCAUGAAGAGGAACAGAUAAACAGAGGCAAGCUGAUGGCAGGGGUAGCUUCAAGAUGGAGUCCAGUGUCUCUGCAUGUUAAGUUGAAGAGUGCAACACGGCUGCCUGCGAUAGAGAGGAUUAGCCCCACAGUAGAGGAGGUCUUCUCCAGUCCCGCCCACUUUGUCAAGGACAAAGCUGGCUAUGAAAGUUCUGAUUUUCAAAACACUUAUCAAAUUUACCCACUUGUCACCGGCCAGUUUAUCACCACCCACUAUCUUAUACUCAUAGUGUUACACAAGAGUGUAAAUUAAUGUGGAGUGCAAUACUCCUAAUUAUUACAGUUGGAGCAAAUGGGGCCAUGCAUAUGCAAAUAUCUAAUUAGUCACAUUGUGGUUGUCUGUCUGUGGAAAUACCCUGUGUGACUAUGAAAUCAUACUGCCUGCUUUGGCUUAUACAAUGAUGUGUGUUGCUGCGAGUCUUGCAUAAGGAGAAUUAGUCCUUCUGUUUUAAUAAUACUGUACCAUUCCGCUCAAUUCUGAGCCCUUAAUCUUGCAUCACAGUGCAACACUGUAACAGCAACACAUAAUUGCCUAUUUUUCCAAUUUUCUAUUUUGUUAAAUGCUAAUUCCUGACCUCUGCUGAAUGUGUACAGUGGCCUAUCUUGACACAAUAUUAGAUUAAUCUUAACUGAAAAGAGUUUCAGUGCAGCUGUAACAGAAAAAAGAAUAUGACUUCACCUACCCAGGAAUUUCGGGUUUCAGUCUCCUUUUCUCAGAAGAAUGUUAUUGUUUCACUAUGACACAUUUGUAGUUUCAUGAGUUCUGUUUGUUUUAGCCUGAGAUGACCUGGCCUUAUUAGUUCCUUCUAUACCCUCCAGUUUUGGUGGGGUCCCAAGGGCCUCCUUAGUGGUAUUGCAAAAGGAAAUCCCCAUAAACCACAUAAAUCCCUAAAAAAAGCUGAUGGCACAACUGAGAAUCUCUGUUCGGGCAGGCAGCGUCCUCCCCUUGCGCAGCGCUGCCACGGGUGUCGAUCACAGCCCUGCAGAGACAGAGGACAGCACAGCAGCCUGUAGGUUCUGCUUGCUCUCCAAGACUGAAAGGCCACCCUCACCCAGAGCACUUUUUCUGUAUUUCCUCAAUUUUAAGAUACCUCUUUGCUGUGAUUUCCAGGGCAACAUCAUCACUGUGGUGCAUCUGUAAUUUACAGAUAAAUGAUGACAGAAAUGUGGUUUGGAGGACUGGGUACGAUAUAGGGUUGUGUUCACUAAGGCUGGCCCGAUACCUGCCUUUCUGCUCAAUUUGUAGGGUUACCUGGUUUCUGAAUUAUCACUACUUUGUUUUGAGGAGCAUCAGCAAUGGAUUGAUAAAUAAAUGUGCUUCUGUGGUUUUAUAAAUACCUCUACCUUUUCUCCAGAAUACAGUAAUUCCUUAUCUUACUGCCUGUACACAGCAAUUUAGAUUCCUCCUAAUUAUUAAGUAAUUUUAUGGUUAAUGUCACCUCCUUCCUCCUCUCCCUAAAUGCAGACAUGUAUAUUCUUACAUACAUACGCAUACCUCAUCAAAAUUAUUUCAGCAUAAGCAUGAAUACCACGAACCAAAAGUUUGGCAUCCCUGCUACAGUGAAAGAUGACUGCCACCUAUGGGUAAGAGCUCAUGUUAACAUAUUUAGAUAAAAUUUUAAUAAUAUUCUUUUUAGUUAAUUCAGUUUGUAAUUAUCUAACAGGACAGAGUUCUGAUUCAUUUGCUUAUAUUUUCUCAACAAGAAUCACUGAAAAUCAUCCUCUGAAAGUUAGGUAUUAAACCAACUCCCUUAUGAAGGAGCAUCAGCUUUACGAUGAAUAAAAAAAUGGGGUACGACGUUCUUAUUUUUCUUAUGAUGAAUAAAGACUACAUUGAAGUGCUCUAAUUCCCUAUGCAAAGAAAAACGACUUAUUGCUAUGCAGGUAGGUACAACAUGUUAGAUAAAGCUGUAUUUAAUUACGACUAUAAUUUCAAAGUUAGCCAUCUCAAGGUUUUAAUAUUUUGCUUGCUGUUUCUUUUACUAAAUACAUACAACUAGCUUAGCUGUGCAGUUCCAUGAAAAUGUGUGUAUAAUCAGCAUGUCAUAGUAAUUUUCUUUUCAAAAUUUUUCUUUUUUCAUAGUAAAAUGAAUGCUAUAUGGGGGAAGGGAGGCAGUAGAAAAAUAUAUGUCCCGAUUACGUAAGCCUCAAUUUUUCUGAUAAUCAAUCUGCACAGCAUUUACCCAGAAAACUCAAAAGAAAGUACAGACUGGAAAGGAAAAUUUAUCAUAUCAAAAAUACUUUUUUCUGAUUCAGUUUUCAGGUACAUAAAAGCAAACAGCCUGAUAAUUCUGUAUAUCCGACUACCAAAAAGAAAAGCGCUUAAUUACGGCUGCUAUACUGUGGUAAGCUGCAUUAAAAUGGACAUUACAAUCUCUUUCUCAGAAAUACCAUACAUAAAAAUUGCUGGAAGUCUAGCAAAUUAAUGCACAUAUUUCAGUUUGGGAAAAAAUCUUUUUGCUUCAGUAAACAGGUAGCCAUAAUAUUUCUCCCUUUCGGGGCUGGGACAUAGUAUUUCUGAAGGAAGAGAGAAAAACGUAACAAAAGAGUAAAUUAUAUUAAAAGAGAGAGCAACAAAUACAAACAAAGAAUAAGUCCAGUACUGAUUUUUUUUAAAAUCUCCCUUUUAAAGUUAUCUUAGUCCUGGGCCUUCUUAUUUGUAUUGUACUUUGCUAAAUAUGAUAAUUGGCCUAUCUACAAAACCCCAAAUCAGUAUUACACUAGUGCUUAUCUCCUCCAUUUUCACUACAUAAAAUUAAUACUAAACCUAUAUUAUAAACAUACAAAAUACUGUAAAAGUGGUUAGUAAAUGUUGCUCAAAUAUCUGAGGUUCACACAUCACCAUUUCAUGCUUGCUUUCUAACGGCAUCGGUACCCUUUAUAAUCUACAUAAUUCAGACGCCUGUGGUAAAAUCUUUGUGCUUCAUAGAAAAAAAAAACAUCUUCUAGGUAAAGUCACUGCUCCACAGUACUAUAUUAAUGAUGUAUUUUCCUGACAUAUUUUAGGUCAAAAAUAGCAUUCUUCAAUUUACUUCCUUGUGUCCACUUUGGCUACCGAAUCAAACUGUCACCGGUCCAGUAACAUUCCCCUGUAUUUUCAAACCAUGGUUUAAACUUAAACCACUCAGUCUCCUUUGAUGGGAACUUCAUAUCAGACAGAAAUUACUCCUUAGCACAUUUGAUGAAUCCAGCUUAAAAUAAAACACCAUGACUGCAUGAACAUCUGUGACAAAUGACUUGCCUCAGUCAUCCUGCUCUUUUUUAUUUAAUCUCCCACUGAGUACAACUUCAUAGGUACACUAUUUUUUAGUGCAGACCUCCUCCCACCAACCUACUGCUUGCAAAAGGAAUUAAAAAAAAAUAUUUUCCAUGUGUUAUACCAAAAUCUGAACAGAUUAUAUUUUAACCUUCCAAAAUAACUAGAAGUAGGAAAAUGGAAAUAAACAAAUAAGUUAGUACCUCAAAUUUACAAAAGCAACAAAGGUAAAGAAAUGUAGAAAUGCAAUAAAGCAGUGUUAAAUUAAAAGAUCUGUUAAUGGAAUAUGAAACAAACUCUCCUUUCCUGGUGACACAUUGCUGAGUUACGACCUGCAUAUCCUACAAGUAAAAACGAAGAGAAAAUAUUUUUUAGUCAGUAUGACAAAUUUUGAGAUAUUCCUGUUUCAGUCUCUUUAAAACCAAGGCCAUCUUAAAGACAGGCUAUUCAACAAGAUCUACAUGAUAUUGGAAAACCCAGAAAGGUUUUUCCUGAUUUUUUGCCGCCAAUGAUGUCUGUGUUUUACAGAGGGGAAAAAAAAAAAUCCACAAAUCAGGCAGCAUUCUUAAUUCUCUGAAGUGCUUGCUGUUAAUUUUAUACCCUUACAGAAUGACGAGUAAAAUUCCACUUUCCAGGUAAAGAAAUACAGAACAUCGUAUCAUAGCUUUUAAAAAUGAUACUUUCAGUUCUAUAGAGAUGUCUCAUCAAUUUCACUUGAAUGCUGCUUAUACUGUAUAACACAGAUUUUACUUUAAAUAAUAGUACUUGAUGCCCAUAUGGAUUUUUUGUUACCUAAUAGCUUUGCUAGAUUGGUCAUGGAUUUUUUUACUGUGCUAUGUCUUUUUUCAGUACUUAGUUAUAUGCCUGCAUUCUCCAACAGACAUUCAAAAUACUACUGCAUUCUGGUCUAUUCCACUGUUUUGACACUGAAGUGCAUUCAGAUACUCAUAAUGAAUGUCCUUAUAGAGGCAAGUAAACAAAAGAAAAAAAAAAAAAAAAAA
RNAcentral lists this long non-coding RNA (7288 nucleotides) under Taeniopygia guttata (zebra finch). Its description in RNAcentral is "lncRNA (ENSTGUG00000029114.1)". Lineage: Eukaryota; Metazoa; Chordata; Aves; Passeriformes; Estrildidae. The record is from RNAcentral.